GGUCCUUUGGCCCAAUGGUAAGGCGUCUGACUACGACCACCUUGGUAAUCAGGAGAUUCUGGGUUCGACCCCCAGGAGGACCU
Hypomontagnella submonticulosa is the source of this 83-nucleotide non-coding RNA. The record is from the annotation of a GenBank genome assembly. NCBI's taxonomy places the organism in Eukaryota, Fungi, Ascomycota, Sordariomycetes, Xylariales, Hypoxylaceae.